Molecule: ribosomal RNA, 464 nt
Filed under: uncultured bacterium
Lineage: Bacteria
Description: bacterial SSU rRNA
Rfam family: Bacterial small subunit ribosomal RNA
Source: RNAcentral
AUGAACGCUGGCGGCGUGCUUAACACAUGCAAGUCGAACGGUGAAAGAGAGCUUGCUCUCUGGAUCAGUGGCGAACGGGUGAGUAACACGUGAGCAAUCUGCCCCUGACUCUGGGAUAACAGCUGGAAACAGCUGCUAAUACCGGAUACGAGUUGCGAAGGCAUCUUCAGCAGCUGGAAAGAAUUUCGGUCAGGGAUGAGCUCGCGGCCUAUCAGCUUGUUGGUGAGGUAAUGGCUCACCAAGGCGUCGACGGGUAGCCGGCCUGGGAGGGUGACCGGCCACACUGGGACUGAGACACGGCCCAGACUCCUACGGGAGGCAGCAGUGGGGAAUAUUGCACAAUGGGCGAAAGCCUGAUGCAGCAACGCCGCGUGAGGGACGACGGCCUUCGGGUUGUAAACCUCUUUUAGCAAGGAAGAAGCGAAAGUGACGGUACUUGCAGAAAAAGCGCCGGCUAACUACGU